Molecule: transfer RNA, 76 nt
Filed under: Podarcis lilfordi (Lilford's wall lizard)
Lineage: Eukaryota; Metazoa; Chordata; Lepidosauria; Squamata; Lacertidae
Description: tRNA.Val
Rfam family: tRNA (bases 9-68)
About the family: Transfer RNA (tRNA) molecules are approximately 80 nucleotides in length. Their secondary structure includes four short double-helical elements and three loops (D, anti-codon, and T loops).
Source: RNAcentral
GUAUUUUAUAGCUCAGUUGGUUAGAGCAUGGUGAUGACAAUGCCAAGGUUGCAGGUUCGAUCCCCUGUAAGGGACA